CUUUGCAGUCUGCUCCAAGUGUUUUAAUUGGAGUUAAACGCUCAGUCUGUAGAUAUUUGGUAGGAGAAAUUGUUACAUGUUUAUUUGACGAAAACUUAGUAAUUAAUAUCUAUUUACCUCGGUUAUAUGGUAAAUACUUCUUGGGCAAGACUCAUUCUAUUCAUUUUAAACCUUUUUCAUUUGCUUUUAGCUAUAUUUCGAACAUAAAACUUACCUUGACGGUGAGAUAAAUCAUACAACUCAACAUUUGUACUCCUGCGCAUAUUUCUCGUUCCGGCAAAGAAUUAUAGCCCGGACACUCCGUUUGUCCGACGGCACUUAUAUUUGGUAUUGAAAUGGUUCCUCUCCACUAUUAGUUUUGGUUAAAAACACAAAAUUUGGGAACAAAUAAACAAACUACAUUUGGAGUUCAUAUCGACUUGACAGCAAUGACAAGUGACAUGUACGUUUGUAUCUGUAUUUCAAGAUGGCGGUCGAUGAAGUGUGGUAGCCACACUCGUUGGUAAAAUAACAUAAUCAUUGCCUUUAUGAACUUUCUAUUUGGAAAUGUUGUCCAUAUUUUUGGCUUUCUAAAUAUAUAAUUAUUUCCAUGUUUGAAAUUGAUGAAGUUUCUGGUUUUGUUAGUACAUUCAUUUGGUAAGAGCGAGUGUGUGUCGCGGGCAUACGUCAUUCGAUGCAUUCACUCAGAAAUGUGUCAGUCGGAAUGAACUUGCAUUUGUCGAGUCAUUUGCUCAUUUGCUGUUCAAUUGGAGAAUUGGAGACAUCUUGACAUUAAAGGUCGGUGCGUUCUGCCAAAAUGGAGGUGAGUAGCUUUGUCUGAAGAAAUCUAAACUCAGUUCUUUUUCUUUUUGUGUGAUUAGUGCGUAUAGUGAUAAAAUGUAUUCUUGUUACAGCGUGAUGUGUAAAACAAGGUGUUUUAAUCGCCCAACCCCGUUGUAGCAAGCGGGGAUUCAUUUUGUGAUUUCGUCGUACAUGUGGUAUGUAUUCUUGUGAAAUCAUUAUCGAUGUGGACGAGGGAACAUUUAGUUUGUUUAACAAGUGUCUAACUACGUUGUCGUAAACGAUUUCAGCUGCCCGUCUCGAGAAUGCCGAUCGAAGCCGAGGGGGAGAAGCACGUGUUCCCGGCGCUUCUAUAGAAACCGGGGAAAUAAACCCGUAAGUACAACUAGACACGGUUUUUGGACUUUCUGGAAUUUUUGGAAUUUCUGGACUUUCUAGUCAUGGCGGGAGUUACACAUCCCGUCGCAAGCCUUGAGCAGGGUGGCUAGUUCCCGGCUCAUAUCCUGGAGGCACUACAAGAUCUCGGAUGAAUAGUGUUUCGAGUUACGUAUGAGUACCAUAUAUUAGUAGUUGGGUUUGAUGGGAUCGAUACUACUCCCUGUACGAAAACGUACUAGUGAUAGCUGUUAAUUUAUACACCUGGUGGAGACGUUGUAGCAGCGUACUCCCAGAUGCCUGGUGACCGAGCGAGGUGACCCCUUAUUAUUAUUAUGUCUGGCCAACUUUAUGAAGUAGAUUAAGGCGAAUGUAAAGAAGGCAAUGUAUAUAUCCACCUAGUUAAGGGUUUCCAACCUCGCUCAUGUCUACGCCUGUAGUAAAUUAAUUAUUAUUUUAUAUUAAUAGCACAGACAAUAGUACCUUAAGCCUCUCUUAAAUUUAAUAUUGUAAUCGGUAUAACAAUUUCGUGUAUUUGCUAAGAAGAAGAAUACAGUGUAUAUUUUAAGUAA
Molecule: long non-coding RNA, 1727 nt
Organism: Cydia strobilella
Lineage: Eukaryota; Metazoa; Arthropoda; Insecta; Lepidoptera; Tortricidae
Exons: 2
Source: RefSeq, a predicted model, not a curated record